AACGAACGCUGGCGGCAGGCUUAACACAUGCAAGUCGAACGCACCGCAAGGUGAGUGGCAGACGGGUGAGUAACACGUGGGGAUCUGCCCAAUGGUACGGAAUAGCUCCGGGAAACUGGAAUUAAUACCGUAUGUGCCCUUCGGGGGAAAGAUUUAUCGCCAUUGGAUGAACCCGCGUCGGAUUAGCUAGUUGGUGAGGUAAAGGCCCACCAAGGCGACGAUCCGUAGCUGGUCUGAGAGGAUGAUCAGCCACACUGGGACUGAGACACGGCCCAGACUCCUACGGGAGGCAGCAGUGGGGAAUAUUGGACAAUGGGCGCAAGCCUGAUCCAGCCAUGCCGCGUGAGUGAUGAAGGCCUUAGGGUUGUAAGGCUCCUUCGCCGACGAAGAUAAUGACGGUAGUCGGAGAAGAAGCCCCGGCUAACUUCGUGCCAGCCGCCGCGGUAA
Molecule: ribosomal RNA, 447 nt
Filed under: uncultured bacterium
Lineage: Bacteria
Description: partial 16S ribosomal RNA
Rfam family: Bacterial small subunit ribosomal RNA
Source: RNAcentral